Molecule: ribosomal RNA, 1164 nt
Filed under: uncultured organism
Description: bacterial SSU rRNA
Rfam family: Bacterial small subunit ribosomal RNA
Source: RNAcentral
AGCUAGUUGGUGGGGUAAUGGCCCACCAAGGCGAAGACGGGUAGGGGGCGUGAGAGCGCGGCCCCCCACACUGGCACUGAGAUACGGGCCAGACUUCUACGGAAGGCAGCAGUCGGGGAUAUUGCACAAUCGGCGAAAGCCGGAUGCAGCGACGCCGCGUGGGCGAUGAAGGCCUUCGGGUUGUAAAGCCCUUUUAUGGGGGAAGAGACAAGGACGGUACCCCAAGAAUAAGCGUCGGCUAACUACGUGCCAGCAGCCGCGGUAAAACGUAGGACGCAAGCGUUAUCCGGAUUUACUGGGCGUAAAGAGCGUUGAGGCGGUUCCGUAAGUUGGGCGUGAAAGCCCCGGGCUUAACCCGGGGAGGUCGUUCAAUACUGCGGGACUUGAGGGCAGCAGAGGGAGGCGGAAUUCCCGGUGUAGCGGUGAAAUGCGUAGAUCUCGGGAGGAACACCAGUGGCGAAGGCGGCCUCCUGGGCUGUUUCUGACGCUGAAGGCGAAAGCUAGGGGAGCGAACGGGAUUAGAAACCCCGGUAGUCCUAGCCGUAAACGAUGGAUGCUGGGUGUGGGGGGUAUAGAUCCCCUCCGUGCCGAAGCUAACGCGUUAAGCAUCCCGCCUGGGGAUUACGGCCGCAAGGCUUAAACUCAAACGAAUUGACGGGGGCCCGCACAAGCAGCGGAGCGUGUGGUUUAAUUCGAUGCUACACGAAGAACCUUACCUGGGCUUGACAUGUAGGUAGUAGUGAAGCGAAAGCGGAACGACCCUUCGGGGAGCCUACACAGGUGCUGCAUGGCUGUCGUCAGUUCGUGCCGUGAGGUGUCGGGUUAAGUCCCGUAACGAACGCAACCCUUGCCCUUAGUUACAUGUGUCUAAGGGGACUGCCCGGGACAACUGGGAGGAAGCGUGGGGAUGACGUCAAGUCAGCAUGGCCUUUAUGUCCAGGGCUACACACACGCUACAAUGGCCGGUACAAUGGGUCGCCAAGCCGUGAGGCGGAGCCAAUCCCCCAAAGCCGGUCUAAGUUCGGAUUGUGGGCUGCAACUCGCCCAUAUGAAGCUGGAGUUGCUAGUAACCGCGCGUCAGCAAUAGCGCGCCGAUACGUUCCCGGGCAUUGUACACACCGCCCGUCACGUCAUGGAAGCUGGCAACACCUGAAGCCAGUGAGC